This 2330-nucleotide long non-coding RNA is filed under the name Marmota monax (woodchuck). The record is from RNAcentral. Lineage: Eukaryota; Metazoa; Chordata; Mammalia; Rodentia; Sciuridae.
AAAAAUUAAAAGAGCUGGUUAUGUGGCUCAGUGGUAAAGUGCCCCUGAGGUUAAUCCCCAGUACCCAUCCGUAUUUUUUUUAAUUUACCCUUAGGAGACAUGAGAAGGCAUUUGUGAUUUAUAAAGCAAUGAAUAUGUAUAUUUUUAUCUAAAAAUCCUGGGUCCAUUGCUUGCUAGUGCUCCAAGGAAAGAAGAUGGUGCCUACAGGAGCUCUGGGCAGAGAACUAACAACUGCAGGAGUGCCUCUGGGGCAGCACAAUCUCGUCCAGUCUUCUGAUGAUUGGAACUUACAAAGUCAUCCUCCACAAACACUCGUGAACCACCCACUGGCCUCUGCUACUUUGAUUUUUCUGCAGUAACUUUAAUCUGACUCUUGAAGCUGACCUUGACCUUCCCACUCUCUCUGGCUACUGUGGUUUGGAUCUGGAAGGUCUCCAGCAAAACUCACGUGUCAGGAACGCAGUAAGGUCAGAGGUAAGUGAGCAGAUCAGGAAGGCUGGGAUCGCCUCAGAGGACUAACCCACGUGAUGCGCAUGAUCUGACUGGACCACUGAGCGGGAACAGUAGGCAGGUGGGGCACGGCUGCAGGAAUUAGGUCACUGGGAGUGGCCUUGGGGACUGUAUCUGUCCCUGGCCUAUAUCUUCUCUCUCCCCCACUCCUCUUCCUCUCUCUUCUUUCUCUUCUCUACUCCUGUCCCCCACCCCCGCCUUCCAGGCUGCCAUGACCUGAGAAGCUUUCCUCUUCCCUCCACCAUGCCCUUCUGCCAUGAUGCUCUGCCUCACCUCAGGCCCAGAGCACUGGAGUCAGCUGACCAUUGACUGAGAUCUCUGAAACCAUGAGCUCAAAGUCAUCUUCUCCCCCUCUAAGUUUUUCUUAUCAGGUGCAUGGGCCACAGUGAUGCAAAGCUGAUGAACACUUGGCCAGGUGCUGCAUGGGCCCACAUCAGCCUCCCCAGAAUGCUGGUUUAGCAUCCUCGUAGGACCAGCUCCCACCAGUCUCAGGCACUGGUCUUACACACUGUUGUCAUGGUUACCUUCACAGUGUUAAUCACAAGCCUUCUUCAAAAACCAUCAAGACAGCUCCCUAUGCUCACUCUGCCUCUUCCUCCCCAGGGCUCCUCCUCAACUCCCUUCUCAAGCCAGCCUGGCUGGUGACCGCAUCCCUUAUCUAUCAAUCUGUCCAUUUUCUGUUGCUGUUUAAGAAACCUUAUGGCUGGAUGACUUAUAUAGAAAGAUGUCUGUGCAGCUCCCAGUUUUGGAGGCUGAAACUCCAAGUGGCAUGGUGCCAGCUCUGGCAAGGACCCCUCAUUAUGUCACAUCAUGGUGGAUGGCAUCACCAUGGGAACACAAGCUAGAGGGCAAGACCACAUGGUAAGGCAGGAAACCAGAGAGCAGGGAGGAACCAGUCUCACUCCUUUUAAAAAAAAAAAAACCCUCUCGUGACUAACCAGAGUCCCAUGAGAACUAUAUUAAUUCCUGCCAAGGACAGCACCCCCCAGUGACCUAAUAACUUCCCACUAGGACUCACCCCUUAAAGGUCCCAUCACUCCCACAUCACCAUGCCAGGACAAAGCUUCUAACACACAACCCUCAGGACAAACCACAUACAAACCAUGCACAAUUCCGACAGGCAAAGUGUCGGGGGCUGUCAUGCUGAGUGACCAGCAUUUUCCUUCCCAUGAUCGGUAGAGGCUCUGUUGGUCACUUUCGUAGUGAUCUGGCCACAUUCAUAGUGGCCCUAGACGGCUGCCCCGAUCCUCAAAGUAGCAGAAUGUGUCUUCAUGCAUAGGCGCUCCUACAUGCAUCCCCAUGGAUCGAGCUACGCUCACCCGCUCCUUUGUGAUAUUACCCGCUUGCCCUAUUUGGGAUAGAAUGUUCCAUGGAAACUCCCUUUGUGUGUCCCCUUCUCUUACUCUGCCCUUGGGUGUGGCCUUCCUAGAUGUCAGUCCAACCUGCUAACAGCAGACAUCAUGAAGUGUGGAGAGCCAUUCUCACACGUGACUGGGCGACUCCCGGUUUGGGUCUGAGGCGUUCUGGCUGUGUCGGAACUUUCCCGGCCCUCUCCUAAUGAGAGAACCCGUCCGUGUGGGGGUGUGACUGACCACUGACCCCGGGGGCCCAAUCACUGACCCUGACCUUGGAGUGCGGCCCCCCCUCAACCUUCAUUGGAUGGAAUUUACCCUGAAUUUCUUGUUCCCCAAUAAAAGGCUACUCCCUGGCGUGCUCGCUCUCUCUCUCUCCUGCUUGCCCUGAGUAAUCCUUGCUGCCCUACGGGUGGUUCGAGGUUGGAGCCAGAGAGGGGAGCCGUCUUGGACCUGGUCAUAGAAAAA